GCAGAACUGGUCUGCAAACCUGGUGAGCAGAACUGGCAGUGACUCAAGCACAACUUGAUAAUAUGGUGUGUGCUGGGGAGGGUGGGGAAUGAAUUCCAUACAAAUUGGGGCCCUGACCCUUUGAUGAAAUUGCUGGGGUUCCAGUGGUCUGGGCCAUGCUGUGAUCGAUGUCUGACCUUUCCUUCUACCUCAGAGGAAGCACAGUGCCUCGUGGGUGUCUUUGGAUCUUGGAGGCAGCUCGUAUGUGAUAUCCCGACCCAUGUAGGAAUGACCUAAAAUGCUGUCUGCUUUCUGUGAGUCCCAGAACAAGAGAAGGCUCUGCAGCAAGUGCAUGUGGCCAUGAAAGCUGCUGAGCAACUUGAGCCAUGGGACCAACAGAUCCUAUGGCAUUUGAGGUGUCUAUGGCAGAUAAGGAUGCUGUGUAGGGGCCAUGAUAGGCUCCUGCAGUUGAAUCACAGACUGAUGGCAGUCAAGCUCUGCCAUCAUCUGUGGAUAACUCUGUGGAUUGCAUCUAGUCCUUCAGAGAGACUGGACAGGCCACCAAGUCACCAUGUGAUUGGAACUAUACAUCAUGAGUGGGAUGUUGCUGAACCCAGCAAGCCAUAGAGUCGGGCUUGCAUAGCUAUGUUCUGUCUUCAAGUGGAAGCAGCAUAUACAACUCGGGGGGCUCAGGCAGGCCCUGAAGGCACAAGCAACUUACAUGUAAAAGUGGCUCCAACACCUGUGGUCCCUACUCCUGCCAUUCUGCAGUCACUCUCUCAGCCAGCACCUGUGGCUUCGUAGGAAGUUCCCUGCAGCCUGAUCAUUGUGGAAGAACAAGUCUGGUCCCAGCUUACAGAUGCUUCUGCAUGAUACACACGGAUGACCAUGGAGCUCAGCCCCUCUGAGCAAUGGUAGUGAAGGGAAGGGCUCCCAGUGGGCAGAACUCUGGGCAGGGUCCCUGGGUGUUUUCAUUUUGCCUGGAAGGAGAGGUCAGAGCUACAGGUUCCACCCACUCAUGAUCAGUUGCUCCUGGCUCGGCCAGAUGGAUGGUCAGGGACUUGGAAGGAACGCAUUUGGGAAAACGGUAACAGGAGGUGUGGGGAAGUAUUGUGUGGUUAGAGCCCUCUGAAAGGGCGGAGUGUGAAGAUCCUUGCAGCCCACGUGUCAUUUGACAAAGAGCAACCGCCUCAGCCGAGGAGAAGCUCACUGACCAGGUAGAUAAGACAGCCCUUUCUUCGGCCAUCAGUCAGGCUCCUUCCCCAGCCACCCUUCAUUGCCAGUGGGCUGGUGAAGACAGGGACUGAGGUAGCUGGGAUGGAGGUCACACAUAGGCUCAGCACAGGAGCUCCACUCACCAAGGCCCAUCCACUAAGUGCCCGCCUGCCCCAGUGUUGCAGGGGAUCUACCAGCUUCCAGGUGGAGUGGAUGAUAUGAGACAGCUGCCGGCAUGGAACUGGCACUGCUGUGCUUUCACCAGGAUAGAGGCUUGCUCUGCAGGUGGACUGGCCCUCCGUGCCCACGGUGCUUUUGCUGAAACCACCUGUGGACUCUGGCGCGCCUCAUUCAGCAUUCUCACACUGCUGCUCAAGGAAUUCGCCACAGUUAAUGGAGUAGGGCAAAGGCCCCAUGCUCGUGACUUUGAAGUUCUUCUGUGGUCCUCCUCUCCCCGAAGCAGCUCACAAACAUGACCAUGGAAUGGCCUUCUGGAGACUCACAUGGUGCCUGCUGAGUGGGGACGCUUUGCAGAACGGGCUGUGUCCUCCAGGAGGCAGUCCAGGCUCUGAAUUAAAGUCAGUCUGUGGAGUGGUUUCUCCUGCAGCCCAGACCUCAUGGUUCUGGGAGUCAAGGAGGGGAAGCAGCAAUGGCUUCUCUUUCACCCUCAUGAAAUUCUGCUGGUCAUGUGUUUGCUCCCUGUCCUCACAACUCUAGGUCCUCUUGGUGUAGAAGUCUGAGUUCUCGAGGGAGGAGGGUUUCCCGCAGAGGCACCACAAUGGCUCCACCAGACUGGAAGGUGAAAUUGCACCAGGUCAUUUUGGGAUCCUCACUGCAGAAAAUCAACAGGUAAAGAAGGCAGUUACUGCCUGGGCCAGGGGACUGAUUUUAUCAGGCAGAAUCGGCCGGGUUGCACAAGGAGGAUGAAGAGGAGCACGUCUGGAAUGCGGAGGGUCCCCUGCAGCGCCUCUUCAUGUUCCCAUGUCCUGUGAUUAAAAUCAUGGAAAACCAUCACCCCCGAUCCAAGCAGGGCCACUCAUGACCCAGGCUCUCCAGGAAUGAAGGCUUAGGUCAUCCCACCAGGCAAAGAGCCACAUCAGCUGAGUGCUUGCAGAGGCAAAGGCUAUGCGGGAGACGGAGGCUGAAACGCUAGUUCCCGCUGCACGGCUGCUGCAGAAAUGAAGCCUACAAUAGAUGUGGGUCUUUUCUUCUUAUUUUGAUCCGAGUGUAUUGGGUGGGGGACCACAUUAGCCACUGUUUCUUCUCCUCUUCCCUACCACUUCAUACGGUACUACUGUAUGAAGUGUACCGUUGAUAACAGUUGAUAUUUAAUUAUCUCAGACAUCUCAGUGUUUAAAUUUUAGGCUAUCAGUCCAGGCACGGUGGCUCAGGCAUGUAUUCCUAGCACUUUGGGAGGCUGAGGCAGGCGGAUCACCUGAGGUCAGGAGUUCAAGACUAGCCUGGCCAAUGUGGUGAAACCCCAUCUCUACUAAAAUACCCAGGAGGUGGAGGUUGCAGUGAGUCGAGAUUGCACUACUGCACUCCAGCCUGCACAACAGAGCGAGACUCUGUCUCAAAAAAAAAAAA
Molecule: long non-coding RNA, 2781 nt
Organism: Macaca fascicularis (crab-eating macaque)
Lineage: Eukaryota; Metazoa; Chordata; Mammalia; Primates; Cercopithecidae
Source: Ensembl